RNAcentral lists this ribosomal RNA (490 nucleotides) under uncultured bacterium. Its description in RNAcentral is "partial 16S ribosomal RNA". It matches the Rfam family "Bacterial small subunit ribosomal RNA", at positions 30 to 507 of the family's 1533-position model. The record is from RNAcentral.
AUUGAACGCUGGCGGCAUGCUUUACACAUGCAAGUCGGACGGCAGCACAGAGAAGCUUGCUUCUUGGGUGGCGAGUGGCGAACGGGUGAGUAAUAUAUCGGAACGUACCGAGUAAUGGGGGAUAACUAAUCGAAAGAUUAGCUAAUACCGCAUAUUCUCUGAGGAGGAAAGCAGGGGACCUUCGGGCCUUGCGUUUUUCGAGCGUCCGAUAUCUGAUUAGCUAGUUGGUGGGGUAAAGGCCUACCAAGGCGACGAUCAGUAGCGGGUCUGAGAGGAUGAUCAGCCACACUGGGACUGAGACACGGCCCAGACUCCUACGGGAGGCAGCAGUGGGGAAUUUUGGACAAUGGGCGCAAGCCUGAUCCAGCAAUGCCGCGUGUCUGAAGAAGGCCUUCGGGUUGUAAAGGACUUUUGUCAGGGAAGAAAAGGAUGUUGAUAAUAUCAAUAGCUGAUGACGGUACCUGAAGAAUAAGCACCGGCUAACUACGUG